AUGAGGACGGCAACGCGGGGAGGGAGCGACAACGGCAACGACGAGCGACGGCGAUGCGAGGAAGGCGGCGCGUCGACAGCAACGACAACCGACGGCCGAGUUGGGAAUCGGAACAGGUGUGGCAGAACGACAUCGACCUCCUCAAGCCGUCGGCGGGUCCAGAGAAGCUCAACUCAUUCCUCAUUGUACGUGCGCAUCAGACCACAUAGGAUUGCCACGGCUGCUUCAACAUGUGCGCUGUUAAACCUUGUCGAGGGAGGUGGUGGCGACUGGUGGUGCGAAGCCGAUCCUCCACAAGGGCUUCUCCAUGCUGCUACGCUCUCCCAUCAGUCUCUUCUUGCCUUCGCUCAGGCAGGCGCCGACAGGGCUGACACGUCGUUGAUUAGCGACAGACAGCGUGGCAACGCUGGUGUGCGAGGAGUCUCCGGCCGCUAUAGGCUACAGCCUCAGAAUUACUUCUACGGUGAGUCGGAGUGUGAUGUCUUCUCAUGGGCUACUAUCAUCAAUCAAGGUGGCCAUCGGUCGAUAUCAAGCUUGACAAGUACUUCCUUAAGGCUGAUGUCCGCUCCCGUCGCGUCGCUGGCCGAGGCCCCAUCUCCAUGGGAAGCUGCUAUUUUUUCGAUAGAUUGGCAAUGA
RNAcentral lists this ribosomal RNA (636 nucleotides) under Triticum aestivum (bread wheat). RNAcentral describes it as "partial small subunit ribosomal RNA". The record is from RNAcentral. Lineage: Eukaryota; Viridiplantae; Streptophyta; Magnoliopsida; Poales; Poaceae.